Molecule: ribosomal RNA, 471 nt
Filed under: uncultured archaeon
Lineage: Archaea
Description: bacterial SSU rRNA
Rfam family: Archaeal small subunit ribosomal RNA
Source: RNAcentral
AGCAGGCGCGAAACCUUCACAAUGUGCGAGAGCACGAUGAGGGGAUCCCAAGUGCUGGUUCGUAAGAGUCAGCUGUUUCUUUGUNNAAAAAACAGAGAGAGUAAGGGCUGGGUAAGACGGGUGCCAGCCGCCGCGGUAAUACCUGCAGCUCAAGUGGUAGCCGCUAUUAUUGGGCCUAAAACGUUCGUAGCCGGUUUAGUAAAUGCUUGGGUAAAUUGUGUCGCUUAACGAUACGAAUUCCGGGUAGACUGCUAAACUUGGGACCGGGAGAGGUUAGAGGUACUCCUGGGGUAGAGGUGAAAUUCUGUAAUCCUGGGGGGACCACCAGUGGCGAAGGCGUCUAACCAGAACGGGUCUGACGGUGAGGGACGAAACCCUGGGGCGCAAACCGGAUUAGAUACCCGGGUAGUCCAGNNNNUAAACGCUGCUCGCUUGAUGUUAGUUGGGCUCCGAGCCCACCUAGUGUCGGAG